RNAcentral lists this ribosomal RNA (323 nucleotides) under uncultured bacterium. RNAcentral's name for it is "bacterial SSU rRNA". It matches the Rfam family "Bacterial small subunit ribosomal RNA", at positions 28 to 334 of the family's 1533-position model. The record is from RNAcentral.
GAUGAACGCUGGCGGCGUGCUUAACACAUGCAAGUCGAACGGAACUGUUUGGAUGAAGUUUUCGGAUGGAUUUUAAACAGUUUAGUGGCGGACGGGUGAGUAACGCGUGGGUAACCUGCCUCACACUGGGGGAUAACAGUUAGAAAUAGCUGCUAAUACCGCAUAAGCGCACGGCUCCGCAUGGAGCAGUGUGAAAAACUCCGGUGGUGUGAGAUGGACCCGCGUCUGAUUAGCCAGUUGGCGGGGUAACGGCCUACCAAGUCGACGAUCAGUAGCCGGACUGAGAGGUUGAACGGCCACAUUGGGACUGAGAUACGGCCCAG